CACGUAGGGCGCAAGCGUUGUCCGGAAUUAUUGGGCGUAAAGAGCUCGUAGGCGGUUUGUCGCGUCGGGGGUGAAAACCUUGGGCUUAACUCAGGGCUUGCUUUCGAUACGGGCAGACUAGAGGUAUGCAGGGGAGAACGGAAUUCCUGGUGUAGCGGUGAAAUGCGCAGACAUCAGGAGGAACACCGGUGGCGAAGGCGGUUCUCUGGGCAUGAUCUGACGCUGAGGAGCGAAAGUGUGGGGAGCGAACAGG
This 253-nucleotide ribosomal RNA is filed under the name uncultured bacterium. RNAcentral describes it as "partial 16S ribosomal RNA". It matches the Rfam family "Bacterial small subunit ribosomal RNA", at positions 524 to 776 of the family's 1533-position model. The record is from RNAcentral.